Molecule: ribosomal RNA, 492 nt
Filed under: uncultured bacterium
Lineage: Bacteria
Description: partial 16S ribosomal RNA
Rfam family: Bacterial small subunit ribosomal RNA
Source: RNAcentral
AUUGAACGCUGGCGGCAUGCUUUACACAUGCAAGUCGAACGGUAACAGGCCUUCGGGUUCUGACGAGUGGCGAACGGGUGCGUAAUGCAUCGGAACGUACCCAGAGGUGGGGGAUAACGCAGCGAAAGCUGUGCUAAUACCGCAUGUGAUCUGAGGAUGAAAGCGGGGGACCGAGCAGCAAUGUUUGGCCUCGCGCCUUUGGAGCGGCCGAUGUCGGAUUAGCUAGUUGGUGGGGUAAAGGCCUACCAAGGCGACGAUCCGUAGCUGGUCUGAGAGGACGACCAAGGACAAUGUGGAUUAGAUACAUGCCCAUCGUCUAACGGAGGAAGCAGGUGGGGAUUUUUGACCAUGGGGGCCAGCCCUGUCCAGCCAUGUCGGCGGGGGGAAAAAGGCCGUUCGGGUGGUAAACCAUUUUUGCCGGGACGAAAAGGUUUUCGGUAAUACCCGGCGCUAAUGACGGUACCUUCAGAAUAAGCACCGGCUAACUACGUG